AUGGAACGGGUGGUGGUGGAGGUGCCGAUCAACAACGGUUUUUCCCUCGCCGGCCCUUCCUCAACCCCACGUAAGCGCCAGGUGCGUUUUUCAGCACGGCAUGACAUCAUCCUUCUGCGGGAGGUCAUCGCCCAGAACCCCUUUGCCUCCAAAGAGCCAGGGCGAAUCUGGGCCCGUGUGGGAGAGAUUAUCACUGCAGCCCUCCAGGAUGAAAACUUUGAGGUGGAUGCCAGGAGGUGUAGAGAGAGGACCAUGCUGCUGCUCGACUACUAUAAGAAACAAGACUUUCCCAGUCUGCGCAGAUUUGGAACAGAGAGACUGUACGCCCAAAAGGAGGAUCUUCUCCAUGAGGUUCUGGAGCUGGAGGCUGAGAAGGGGCUCCUUGCCAGCGGGGAAAGCACUAAGUAUCAGGAGGAUGACCUGAGAAAGCGAGCCAUGGAAGAACUAAAUCUGCCAGAGCAGGACAAACCCAACAUCACAAUCACUCAAACAGCCACUGCAGCAGAACCAGAAGAAGAUCGUGAGGAAAUGGCAGAGCUUUCAGCUGCGCCCAUGGCCAAGCGGCCCUGCCAGUGCUGCUGCCAGACCUACUCUGAGAUUCUCAGCUUCCUGGAGAAACGCUCCGAGGCAGAGCAGCGGCUGCGUGAGGAGGAGCUCGCUCUGCGCAGGGAGGAGCUGGAGAUUCAAAGGAGUAAGAUUUGUGGAGAGAUUUAUAGUGUGAUUUCAACCUGAAAAGGGGUUGAAAAUAUUUGACCUUGCUACGUUGUAGGUGCCAUUUUUGGUUUACUUUUAUCUUGUAAAGUGAGCCUGAGAAUCAGUCUGAAUUUCCAUUUCAUUUAUAAAAUCUGAAAUUUGGACAAUAAUUCAUGGGUCUCUCUCCCUUUUUAUUUUGUACUCGCAGGUAAGAUCGCUCUGGAGAGGGAACGUUUGGGAGCUGAGAGAAAAGAGAGGGAACGCAGAUUUGAGCUGGAGAGCCAAGAGAGGCAGGUCAUCUUGGACCUGCUAAAAGAGAAGGUGCUGAAAGGCUGACAGAGUAGAAAUGUAUCACCUGCAUUUUAACGAAAUCUUGAAAAAUAAAAAAAAUAAAACAAAGCAUGAAAUACAGGGGGAAAAUGUGGUUGACUCCUUUAAAAAGAGGAUGGAAACCGGGAAACGAGAAGUAGAAUUAUCAGUGGUUGUUGGUUGUAUAUGUGAGGGUCACUGAUCUGGUAAAAUAACAAAGUCGGAUCAAAGAUGGUUUGAAAUGCAAGGCAGUAAUGCAGAAUUUGCAUGUGUCAAACUGCGGACGCUGCUGACAGCGUUUAAAAGCCGCAAAAACCAGCUUAUCAUUAGGUAGAUGCCAACAAGCUCACAGUCUUCAUUACUCACCCGAGCUUCACCUGAGAAAUGGAAUGCCAGCACGGAUGUGGUGUGGCGUGUUAGAUGUGAAAAAGGAACAGGUACACAGGUAAACAGGUACUGAACUAAAUCAGAUGAUUGCACUUCCUCGUGUGACACCAGCAGCAGUCUGAUUAUAUGAGCCCUGUUCACAUGUAGUAGACAGCAUUCGUUGUGCUUCUAGGAUAGAAUAAAUGGAGCAACAACUGAGAAAAGUUGUAUAAUUAGACAACUGACAUUUAGUGCAGUUCAAGCAUUUUGAAAAUCCCUGUAGUAACAUGUUAAUGUUUCUACACGCUUUUUCAGCUACUUCUUUUUUGACAUUUUGAUUGAAAAUUAACUAAAGCUAUAUUUACUGACUGUGAAUCCACUGUACAUUGCUAGUAAGCACUUUUCUACUGCAGACAAAAAAGCCAUUAAGUGUGUGCCUGUAUUCUUUAGAUGAUACAGAAACCAUUGACAUGAAGUUAUAAUGUCAAAUGUGCUACAUUCCUUUUGCUUUUAGAAAGCUAUUGGUCACAUUUGUGUUGACCUCCUCAGUUUAUAGUUUCAUUAAUUUGGUGUUAUAAUUAAAUAUAUAAACAUGACAGAAGCCGUUUUUAUGAAAUGUUCCAAUGAUUUACAGACAUCUUUACUGCUCAUGAUUUAUUAUCUGACUUUUAUUACAUUACUAUUGCUACUGUGAUACUGAUACUGUGAUUUAUACUGUUCAUUCAAAAUACUUUGCAUUAAAAUGCUAGUUCUCUCAGCACAGGCAUAGCCUUCAUUGUAUACUAUGAAAGCAUGUAAAUAAAAUUGUAGGCAAUUGGACUUGUUUCAGUAGCCUACAAUAUAGCACCUGGAUGAGACCUUCAUCAACAUGUAAAGAACAUUUGCUCACCUAAAAAGUUUAUCAUUUUUAUUCUGAAAAUAAAAAUCAUUGUAAAUUGAGUCUGUGUAGAUUUAUCGGGAUCAUGGCCA
Sparus aurata (gilthead seabream) is the source of this 2337-nucleotide long non-coding RNA. The record is from Ensembl. NCBI's taxonomy places the organism in Eukaryota, Metazoa, Chordata, Actinopteri, Spariformes, Sparidae.